This 129-nucleotide ribosomal RNA is filed under the name Penidiella sp. Its description in RNAcentral is "partial large subunit ribosomal RNA". Lineage: Eukaryota; Fungi; Ascomycota; Dothideomycetes; Mycosphaerellales; Teratosphaeriaceae. The record is from RNAcentral.
AAGCGCUUGCCACCAGACUUGUCGGCGGUGGUCCGCCGGUCUUCUGACCGGUCCACUCGCCGCCGGCAGGCCAGCAUCGUCUGGGGCCGCCGGAUAGAGACGUCGGGAAUGUAGCUCCCUCGGGAGUGU